This is an RNA transcript of Mangifera indica (mango), 950 nucleotides long. RefSeq lists it as uncharacterized. NCBI's taxonomy places the organism in Eukaryota, Viridiplantae, Streptophyta, Magnoliopsida, Sapindales, Anacardiaceae. The transcript is spliced from 4 exons. The record is from RefSeq and is a predicted model, not a curated record.
CAUGACCAAAAGCGCCACGGCAACUGUGGAGUUCCGCUGAAGUCAGUCUAUAUGCGCUGAAAUUGUACGAAGAAAAGUCCGCGAGAGUGAAAUUGCGCCGAUGAUACCAAAAUCAGUGCAAGUAUUGGGCACUCUCAAUUUCGCUUCAACUGUCACACUCGGUGCGCUUCGUGCCGUCACUGAGGCGAAACGGAAAAAGGUCGCGGCGCCUUGUGGGUCUUGUAAAGGGAAAGGAUUUUAUAAAUGCAAGUUAUGCAAAGGAAAUGCAACAGUAAAGUGGUCUCCUUUUUACGACCCUUGUUUUUCGCUACAUGUGAUGGUAACAGUGCAUGAAAGUUCCACUUGUUUGGGAUUUGCCAAUACGCACAGACUAUCUCUAUCAUUGUUGGUCUUGGAUGAUCCACGGCCAUGUCUUCUGCACACAGGCAGCCAGGUAGCAGUACAGUCUAUCCAGAUCCUGUCAACUCGAAGACUCUUGUUUCUUAAAUCCCAUUCAUAAAGUAGUAUAAAUCCUGAACGUUUUACCCAAAGAUCUCUCCACAGAGAUAGAUAGUCUUUUUAGUGCAGGAGAAGCCAUUAUCAAGUGCAAAUUCAUGUGGACGGAGUUGAAAGUCAAGUAAAGUUGGCCAUGGACAACAAAAUUGUGUGGUUUCCAUUCUAGGCUGCUAGCCAACUUUUGAUAGCAGAGAAAUAUAGGUGUUCCAAGGUAUGAUACUAUAAUUUGUUAUCAUAAUCUGUUGAACGAUACAAAUGCAGUAUACCCUUAUUCAACUGAAAUUAAUUUGUCUGAAUGAAAUCCAAUCAAUAUGAGGAGUUGAAAAUUCUUGUAGAUGAAGGGGUGAUGAUUUUUCUGCUUGAAGAUAAUGUUUCAUACAUACUAUUAUUCAUUGUGAUUAAAAUGGAAUUACACUUCCACAACAAUUCUUGUACUUUUUUUUCUUUAUUCUAGU